RNAcentral lists this transfer-messenger RNA (351 nucleotides) under Deltaproteobacteria bacterium. It matches the Rfam family "transfer-messenger RNA". Rfam says of the family: Bacterial tmRNA, also known as 10Sa RNA or SsrA, is named for its dual tRNA and mRNA-like properties. Its role is to liberate the mRNA from a stalled ribosome. The record is from RNAcentral. Lineage: Bacteria; Pseudomonadati; Myxococcota; Myxococcia.
GGGGGCGAAACGGCUUCGACGGGGAUAUGGAAAUACAGGUUGCAUGCCGGGCAUCUGUCAGCCCGUAAAAAAGGCAGGACUUAAACAUAAUCGCAGACGAUUAUAACUACGCUCUGGCCGCUUAGGCCAGCGUCCUUCCGGAUUUUUCCUGUGCGUUCGGAAAGGGCGACGACUAACAGGAUAGCUGAUAUCGGUGGCCUGUUCUGAUAGAAGCGAAAUUGCCAAGAGGCUAACCUGUACGACACCCUGCCUGGAGGGGAUCGUGCAAGUGAAAUCAAAAUCCGGGAUAAGCAUGUAGAGGCCUGUGUGGAUUAUUUUCGGACGCGGGUUCGACUCCCGCCGCCUCCACCA